CUUCUAGACUCUUCUGCUUCCUGGCUGAGUGAUCUUGGGGAAGUUGCACAAUGUUCCAGGUGUUGGUUUCCUCCGUAGCAAAGUGGGGGUGUUCAGGUACCUCCUAGGGGUCCGGGGAGGAUCCAGAGACUGAGCGUGUGCAGAGCACCUGCCUGGCCCACGGUGGUGCUCCUAAUAAUGCAGAGAAGCUGGUUUGAUGAUAAUAAUGUAAACCUAGUGUUAUCAGAGAAGCUUGCCAAGCACCCAGGGUGGCUGGAGACCAGUCGUCUGCUUUUCGGGGCGGGCCAGGGGCGCGGUCCAGAAGGCCUCCCAGAGGAUGAUGCUGGCCGCACGGCGAGGCAGAGCAACCCUGGGAGGGGGCGUUUGGGUCCCGGAGAGCAGCCGGCAGUCCCGGCAGAGCCCCCUGCGCAGGGGACAGAGCCCCCAGGUACUCUGCGACAUGCCAAGGAGAUAAGACUUUGUCGGGAGGGUGGAGGGGUACCGGGAAGGCUUUCUGACAGGAGAAGCGCACUCUGCCAUCGGCAGAAGAUUAGAUGGGAAGGGAGGCAAGGCGGGGAGGGUCAGCGUGGGCUGUAACAGUGGGCACGUAAGAGACUCUGGAGGCCUGAAGACGGAGGAGAUGGGGAUGUAGGAGGCGUCGCUGCUAGGACUCCAGAACCGACAGGAUCAGGGGUAAGGUAGGGGAGCAGGCCAAGAGCGAGCGUGGAGUUUGGCCACCAAGGCCAGGGGCGGGGGUGUGGAGGCAGGGGAGCGCAGGGCUGUGUGGCACACGGGCUUCCGUGCAGGGGUCUGUGGGCCGUCUGGGUGGGGGCGAUGGGGCCAUCAAAUCCUGGUGCAGAGCUGGGGGAGGGGCAAGGGUAAGGAUCUCCAGCAAGACUCUUGGUUACCUGUUUGGGCUGAGGAGCCCUAUGGGAAACACUAUGUAGGUGACCAGAGUGGCCCCUUUCCUGCGGCAGACACAGCACUGAUGACAUUCUCACCCACUGACCCUUGUGAUUUUUCGUGACCCUCAUCACUGACCCCCCAGGAGGGAGACGACAACACCAGAGAGGCGCAUGAGCGUGGUCAAAAGGCAAGAGAAAUAAAGUCCUAACGUUGAAGCCACCGUUACCAUCUUCCAUCAACUCUGUCAUUGAAUGGUCCUCCUGGCUGACUUUGAGAAGGACAAACGGGCAGCUGCUGCCAGAAGCAGCUGAUGACCAAGACAAGCCUGCAACCAACAGGCUCACCCUUAGCUGAGAUUCGCAUGGAGAUGCUCACGGCUCUUCCCGCACCAGCCCUGCUACUGCUUUCCAGUGUAAUUUGAGCCUUGAUCUGGUGCAAAGCUGAGCACUUUUGGUCCUCAGCACUAGAGCCCUGACCUUAAGCUAUGACAACCCAGUAUUAACUUACCUGAGUGAUUAAAACAUCAAAGGCCAAUAUGACACACGAAAGGGAAAGGGAAAGGGAAAUCUGGCUUAUUGAAAAGUGGUUAUAAGAUGGACUAUCCACUUUGUGUGUCAUUAAAGCAGGGGCACUUUCAU
Molecule: long non-coding RNA, 1523 nt
Organism: Aethalodelphis obliquidens (Pacific white-sided dolphin)
Lineage: Eukaryota; Metazoa; Chordata; Mammalia; Artiodactyla; Delphinidae
Exons: 3
Source: RefSeq, a predicted model, not a curated record